RNAcentral lists this ribosomal RNA (428 nucleotides) under uncultured bacterium. Its description in RNAcentral is "partial 16S ribosomal RNA". It matches the Rfam family "Bacterial small subunit ribosomal RNA", at positions 354 to 796 of the family's 1533-position model. The record is from RNAcentral.
GUGGGGAAUAUUGCGCAAUGGAGGGAACUCUGACGCAGCAACGCCGCGUGAAGGAUGAAGGUUUUCGGAUUGUAAACUUCUUUGACGAGGGACGAAACAAAUGACGGUACCUCGAAAACAAGCCACGGCUAACUACGUGCCAGCAGCCGCGGUAAUACGUAGGUGGCAAGCGUUGUCCGGAUUUACUGGGUGUAAAGGGCGAGUAGGCGGGAUUGCAAGUCAGAUGUGAAAUACCAUGGCUUAACUGUGGGGCUGCAUUUGAAACUGCGAUUCUUGAGUGAUGGAGAGGCAGGCGGAAUUCCUAGUGUAGCGGUGAAAUGCGUAGAUAUUAGGAGGAACACCAGUGGCGAAGGCGGCCUGCUGGACAUUAACUGACGCUGAGGCGCGAAAGCGUGGGGAGCAAACAGGAUUAGAAACCCGAGUAGUCC